Molecule: ribosomal RNA, 496 nt
Filed under: uncultured bacterium
Lineage: Bacteria
Description: partial 16S ribosomal RNA
Rfam family: Bacterial small subunit ribosomal RNA
Source: RNAcentral
GACGAACGCUGGCGGCGUGCCUAAUACAUGCAAGUUGAGCGCUGACGGCUGGUACUUGUACCUACUGGAUGAGCAGCGAACGGGUGAGUAACGCGUGGGUAAUCUGCCUUUGAGCGGGGGACAACAUUUGGAAACGAAUGCUAAUACCGCAUAAAAACUUUAAACACAAGUUUUAAGAUUGAAAGAUGAAAUUUCAUCACUCAAAGAUGAUCCCGCGUUGUAUUAGCUAGUUGGUGAGGUAACGGCUCACCAAGGCGAUGAUACGUAGCGGACCUGAGAGGGUGAUCGGCCCCAUUGGAACUGAGACACGGCCCAAACCCCUACGGGAGGCAGCAGUAGGGAAUCUUCGGCAAUGGACGAAAGUCUGACCGAGCACCGCCGCGUGAGUGAAGAAGGUUUUCGGAUCGUAAAACUCUGUUGGUAGAGAAGAACGUUGGUGAGAGUGGAAAGCUCAUCAAGGGACGUUACCUACCCAGAAAGGGCCGGCUAACUCCGU